GACGAACGCUGGCGGCGUGCUUAACACAUGCAAGUCGAACGAGAAUCUGCGGAACGAGGAUUCGUCCAAGUGAAGCAGAGGACAGUGGCGGACGGGUGAGUAAUGUCUGGGAAACUGCCUGAUGGAGGGGGAUAACUACUGGAAACGGUAGCUAAUACCGCAUAACGUCGCAAGACCAAAGAGGGGGACCUUCGGGCCUCUUGCCAUCGGAUGUGCCCAGAUGGGAUUAGCUAGUAGGUGGGGUAACGGCUCACCUAGGCGACGAUCCCUAGCUUGUCUUAGAGGAUGACCAGCCACACUGGAACUGAGACACGGUCCAGACUCCUACGGGAGGCAGCAGUGGGGAAUAUUGCACAAUGGGCGCAAGCCUGAUGCAGCCAUGUCGCGUGUAUGAAGAAGGCCGUCGGGUUGUAAAGUACUUUCAGCGGGGAGGAAGGGAGUAAAGUUAAUACCUUUGCUCAUUGACGUUACCCGCAGAAGAAGCACCGGCUAACUCCGUGCCAGCCGCCGCGGUAA
RNAcentral lists this ribosomal RNA (516 nucleotides) under uncultured bacterium. RNAcentral's name for it is "partial 16S ribosomal RNA". It matches the Rfam family "Bacterial small subunit ribosomal RNA", at positions 28 to 523 of the family's 1533-position model. The record is from RNAcentral.